AGAUUGAACGCUGGCGGCAGGCCUAACACAUGCAAGUCGAGCGGUAGAGAGGUGCUUGCAUCUCUUGAGAGCGGCGGACGGGUGAGUAAUGCCUAGGAAUCUGCCUAGUGGUGGGGGAUAACGUUCGGAAACGGACGCUAAUACCGCAUACGUCCUACGGGAGAAAGCGGGGGACCUUCGGGCCUCGCGCCAUUAGAUGAGCCUAGGUCGGAUUAGCUAGUUGGUGAGGUAAUGGCUCACCAAGGCGACGAUCCGUAACUGGUCUGAGAGGACGAUCAGUCACACUGGAACUGAGACACGGUCCAGACUCCUACGGGGAGCAGCAGGUGGGGAAUAGUUGGACAAGUGGGACGAAAGCC
Molecule: ribosomal RNA, 359 nt
Filed under: uncultured soil bacterium
Lineage: Bacteria
Description: bacterial SSU rRNA
Rfam family: Bacterial small subunit ribosomal RNA
Source: RNAcentral